Molecule: ribosomal RNA, 2949 nt
Filed under: Triticum aestivum (bread wheat)
Lineage: Eukaryota; Viridiplantae; Streptophyta; Magnoliopsida; Poales; Poaceae
Description: partial small subunit ribosomal RNA
Source: RNAcentral
AUGGUGGCCGCUGGAGUUUUGGUCGAGGGUCGAGAGAUCCGUCUCGGCGCUCUCAUCUUCAUCGCCGACGACUCCGCCUGGCUCCAGGAGGCUCCACUCGACGUUGAUGCGCUCCCCGUCCGCGGUGCGACGCAUUUUCGCGCAUGUGUCCGCGGCGUUCUGCUGCGGCAACCGUCGACCCCGUAUCGGUCGACAUCCCCAUCGACCACCUUCCUGGUCUCCCGCCAGCGCAAGCGCUCGGGUCGGUCGAGGAUUCAGCGGUGGGUGAGGCACGCGGUGGCUCGCCAGAUGGCCACCACCCAAGUUGCAGCAAUCGAGCCCGACGAAUCUCUCUACGGCCCGUUCGAUCUGUCGACUGGCUCCGUAGAGACCGCAUCCGAGUGCGAUAGCAGUGAUCCAGCGGCGGAAAUCCUGAUGGUCGACGGGCCCCGCAGUCCCCCUGGCUUCGACCGUGAUGGUGGAGCAGGCAACGGAGGUGACCCCGCACGAGAUCACGAAGAGUACCAGCCCGAGCCACUCGACUCUCUGCAAAGAGAAGAACUUCGCCGCAGGAAUGUGGAUGUCCUGCGUACUCCCAUCGCAGGAGAAACCCCCGAGGCUCGCGCCUUGGAGGAGGCACGUUUGGCCAAUUUGGCCGAACGCACUCGACUGGAGAAUCUUCAGCGAGCACUCGACGAGCGUGCGCGGCAACGAGUUCCCGACACCAGUCGACGUCAACUCUUCCCGCCGACUCAGGUAUAUCGAACCCCAAUCCAGAAUUUAGCAGCUGCGACCCGUAUAGCAGAGUCCAUCCAGCCCUCUCAGUCGGAAGCUGGCAGAGGCUUGAUGCAGAUCAGGGAUCUGCUCCGGGCAGCAGGAGAUCAGAAUUCGGCCGUGUCGCAGUCGCGCAACAGAAUUCACAGUCGAUCCGUCGCUGCGAAUACGGUUCAGUCGGCUCACAGCCCCAGAUCGCCUCCGCGGCGUGAAGGGCGUGAGAAUCGACGAGACCAACAUGGUGACCGACUCGACCGAGAUGAUAGGCGUCGAGUACCCAAUUCCCCUCCGAGAGAUGGGUCUUACGCUCCUCGGCAGCAAGAUGACAGACGUCAGCUCAGUGCGGGGCGAAGAGUUCUAGUCGACCCCAGAGAACCAGGCUUCGACGCGCGAUCCAUUAUCGUGCAAGGUUUGGUUGACCGGAACAGAGCCCAUCGAGGUGGACUCGACAGAGAUGCGCCCACAAGUAGUCGAGUGCAUGUUUCUGGUCCUGAAUGUUUCAGCAGAGCUACCAGAGCCGCAGUUAUCCCUCCCAAUUUCAGGUUGGCAACAGGAGUCAGCAAGUUCACUAGUGAGUCUAAGCUUGAAACUUGGCUUGAGGACUACCGAGUGGCAGUUCAGAUUGGUGGUGGGAACGAUGAGGUGGCCAUGAAGCAUUUGCCUCUCAUGCUGGAAGGUUCUGCCAGGGCAUGGUUGACUCAAUUACCUCCUAGCAGCAUUUACACUUGGGAAGAUCUGUCCCGAGUGUUCAUCAGAACGUUUGAAGGAACUUGCAAGCGACCAGCUGGACUGACAGAGUUGCAAGUCUGUGUGCAGAAGACCAAUGAGACUCUCAGAGAGUAUAUUCAGAGAUGGAUCACUUUGCACCAUACUGUGGAGAAUGUGUCUGAUCAUCAGGCAGUCUGCGCCUUUAAAGAUGGUGUCAAGAACAGAGAAUUGAGUUUGAAGUUUGGUCGAACCGGUGACAUGACCUUGAGUCGGAUGAUGGAGAUUGCUACCAAGUACGCCAACGGCGAAGAAGAAGACCGACUUCGAAGCGGCAAGCACAAGCCGAGUCAGUCGGAAAAAGGAAACACCAGUCGGAAACAGAAGCGGAAGGCUGAACCGGCAGCUCCUGGAGAGGCUCUGGCUGUGACUCAGGGAAAGUUUAAAGGGAAACCAAAAGGAUCCUGGAACCCUAACAAGGUAAAGGAUAAAGAAGGGAACGAUGUGAUGGAUAUGCCGUGUCACAUCCACACAAAGAAAGACGAAGAGGGGAAUAUCAUCUACCCGAAGCACACCACUCGCCAAUGUCGACUCCUGAUCCAGCAGUUUCAUGGAAAACAGUCUAAUAACAAGGAGAAGGAGUCGGACAAGGUCGAAGACAAGGAGGACAGUGAGGAAGGAUAUCCUCAUAUCAACUCUACUCUAAUGAUCUUUGCAGAUGUGGAGAGCAAGAGUCGAUUGAAAGUUAUUAACCGUGAGGUGAACAUGGUUGCCCCAGCAAAAGCAAACUAUCUGAAAUGGUCCCAAACACCCAUCACCUUCCACCAAUCUGAUCACCCGACUCAUAUUGCCACCCCUGGGAGGCAAGCUUUGGUGGUCGAUCCAGUUGUUGAAGGCACUCGACUGACAAAAGUGCUUAUGGACGGUGGUAGUGGGUUGAAUUUGCUGUAUGCAGACACACUGAAAGGAAUGGGCAUUCCGAUGUCCCGACUGAGCACCAGUAACAUGAGCUUUCAUGGAGUUAUACCAGGAAAGAAAGCCGAGUCACUCGGCCAAAUAGCUCUGGACGUGAUGUUUGGCGAUUCGAAACAUUUUCGCAAAGAGAAGUUGACGUUCGAGGUCGUGGAUUUUCAGAGUGCAUAUCAUGCCAUUUUGGGGAGACCAGCUUAUGCACGAUUCAUGGCUCGACCAUGUUACGUGUACCUCAAAUUGAAGAUGCCCGGCCCCAAAGGAGUGAUCACUGUCACCGGUGAUCGGAAAAAGGCAGAAGAGUGCUUCCAGAAAGGCUCAAAGAUUGCUGAUUCCCAGGUGACAGCGGUCGAUUUCGAAGAGUACAAGCAAAACGCAGAUCCGAGUGACUUGCUGCGAUCCAAGAAACCCGCCACAGAGUCUGCAUUUCAGUCGUCCGGUGAGACGAAGCCUGUUCACAUUCACCCGACCGACCCCGAUGCAGCUCCGACCCACAUCUCCACAACACUCGACCCGAAAUAG